Molecule: ribosomal RNA, 459 nt
Filed under: uncultured bacterium
Lineage: Bacteria
Description: partial 16S ribosomal RNA
Rfam family: Bacterial small subunit ribosomal RNA
Source: RNAcentral
CCUACGGGAGGCAGCAGUGAGGAAUAUUGGUCAAUGGGCGGAAGCCUGAACCAGCCAAGUAGCGUGCGGGAUGAAGGCCCUACGGGUCGUAAACCGCUUUUGCACGGGGAUAACACCCUCCACUUGUGGCGGUCUGCAGGUACCGCGCGAAUAAGGGCCGGCUAAUUCCGUGCCAGCAGCCGCGGUAAUACGGAAGGCCCGAGCGUUAUCCGGAUUCAUUGGGUUUAAAGGGAGCGUAGGCGGGCGCUAAAGCCAGCUGUAAAAUCGCGCGGCUCAACCGCGCCCCGCAGUUGAAACCGGGCGCCUUGAGUUCACAACAGGCAGGCGGAAUUCGUGGUGUAGCGGUGAAAUGCAUAGAUAUCACGCAGAACCCCGAUUGCGAAGGCAGCAUACCGGCGCGCAACUGACGCUGAUGCACGAAAGCGUGGGUAUCGAACAGGAUUAGAUACCCUAGUAGUC